UACAAAAUAAAGUCGUACAGAGAACCAUCUACUGGACGAGAUGCCCCACCAGAAGCAGACGGUAGUGAUUGUCGUUUUUGUUGUUUUAUUUCUCUUGCAUUGUAAAAGUGGUAGCACAACCGAACAAACUUAUCAGAUAGAGGAUGCCGAAGUCGUCAAUGAUGACGCACCGGUCUAUUCUCGAGAUUGUUUCGACAUCAGGUCAACAAAAUUCUGCAAACGGUUUCAUAAUUUCUGUGACAAGGAAGACGGCAAUGGGCGUUACAUGCGGACUAACUGCCACUUUACUUGUGGAUGCUGAGGCUUAGCAGGCACUUCAUUUGCACCUCCCUAAAGAAGACUCAAGAUAACAUCAAUAAGUAAACGAGACUAACUCACGUUUGCAAGUUAAUUAAAAUUUUUCUUGCAAUGCUG
Molecule: long non-coding RNA, 414 nt
Organism: Pocillopora damicornis (cauliflower coral)
Lineage: Eukaryota; Metazoa; Cnidaria; Anthozoa; Scleractinia; Pocilloporidae
Source: RefSeq, a predicted model, not a curated record